AUUGAACGCUGGCGGCAGGCCUAACACAUGCAAGUCGAACGAGUGGCGGACGGGUGAGUAAUGUCUGGGAAACUGCCCGAGGGAGGGGGAUAAAUACUGGACACGGUAGCUAAUACCGCAUACCAUCGGAUGUGCCCAUGUGGGAUUAGCUAGUAGGGUGGGUAACGGCUCCCCUAGGCGACGAUCCCUAGCUGGUCUGAGAGGAUGACCAGCCACACUGGAACUGAGACACGGUCCAGACUCGUACGGGAGGCAGCAGUGGGGAAUAUUGCACAAUGGGCGCAAGCCUGAUGCAGCCAUGCCGCGUGUAUGAAGAAGGCCUUCGGGUUGUAAAGUACUUUCAGCGAGGAGGCGUUACUCGCAGAAGAAGCACCGGCUAACUCCGUGCCAGCAGCCGCGGUAAUUC
This 406-nucleotide ribosomal RNA is filed under the name uncultured bacterium. RNAcentral's name for it is "partial 16S ribosomal RNA". It matches the Rfam family "Bacterial small subunit ribosomal RNA", at positions 30 to 526 of the family's 1533-position model. The record is from RNAcentral.